This 86-nucleotide unclassified non-coding RNA is filed under the name Kaistella antarctica. Its description in RNAcentral is "Chryseobacterium antarcticum Flavo-1 RNA". Lineage: Bacteria; Pseudomonadati; Bacteroidota; Flavobacteriia; Flavobacteriales; Weeksellaceae. The record is from RNAcentral.
AACUAGCCCUGAUAGUAGCGGUUACCCCGGAACAAGCUUUGGGAAAGCCUUGGCGUGAGGAGUAUGAGCGGAUAGCAGGUUCUUGG